ACUGUUGAGUGGCGGUUGCUGUUGUUGCUGCCCGCUCGCUGCCUGCUCUCGGCGGGCUGUUGUUGGAAUAUUGUUGACUGCCUGCUGUUGGGGUUCGUUGCCGUUGGUUGUGUUAUCAUUUCAGUUGCUGGCUGACUGGCUGCAUGGCUUGUCGGUUGCACGCGCAGCUCCGGGACUCCACCGAUUAUUGGGUGUGUGUGUGUCUGGCCCGAGUCUGGGGCGGCGACAGCGGCAACGACAACGUCGGCGAUUGUAAUCGGUUUCAGUUCAUUUUCAUUUAAAUGGAAUUAAAUAUGGUAAAUGAUGAAAUCAAGCUGAACAGCAGGCGUUUCCCCACUUCAUCCCAACACCGUUCUCCUAAUGUCCCUGCCGUGGUGAGUUGUUGAUGGUGAAGGUAAGUGAAAAAGCGAGUCAACGAGACGACAACGGCACAACUACAACAAUGCUAAUACUCUGGCGAGAGACCAUGACGGGCAGCGCGUGUAAAGAAAGCAAGAAUCGUAAUCUAUAAAAUAAAUAAAUAAUUUGAAAUGUACACACGGCGCAAAACCAAAACUCAGCCACAAAAAAAAGAGGAAAAUAAAAUAUAAAAAAAUAUAUUUAAAUGGCUGUCUGUGUACAACGGCAGUAAUAAAAUCUCAUCGAAAUCGAGAUUCGAUAUUCGAGGGAAAGAACAGGCGCACAGCAACUAGCAGACCGACAACGGCGACGCUUCACAGCGAAGAGAGCGCGAGUAAAAAUCGAUAAACUUGCAGCUGAUAAGUAGCAAGAAGAAAACAACUUAAAACGGCACCAGAGACAAAGGCAAAAG
Long non-coding RNA from Drosophila navojoa, 811 nucleotides. The record is from RefSeq and is a predicted model, not a curated record. Lineage: Eukaryota; Metazoa; Arthropoda; Insecta; Diptera; Drosophilidae.